AGCGAACGGGUGAGUAACGCGUGGGGAAUCUGCCUUUGAGCGGGGGACAACAUUUGGAAACGAAUGCUAAUACCGCAUAAAAACUUUAAACACAAGUUUUAAGUUUGAAAGAUGCAAUUGCAUCACUCAAAGAUGAUCCCGCGUUGUAUUAGCUAGUUGGUGAGGUAAAGGCUCACCAAGGCGAUGAUACAUAGCCGACCUGAGAGGGUGAUCGGCCACAUUGGGACUGAGACACGGCCCAAACUCCUACGGGAGGCAGCAGUAGGGAAUCUUCGGCAAUGGACGAAAGUCUGACCGAGCAACGCCGCGUGAGUGAAGAAGGUUUUCGGAUCGUAAAACUCUGUUGGUAGAGAAGAACGUUGGUGAGAGUGGAAAGCUCAUCAAGUGACGGUAACUACCCAGAAAGGGACGGCUAACUACGUGCCAGCAGCCGCGGUAAUACGUAGGUCCCGAGCGUUGUCCGGAUUUAUUGGGCGUAAAGCGAGCGCAGGUGGUUUAUUAAGUCUGGUGUAAAAGGCAGUGGCUCAACCAUUGUAUGCAUUGGAAACUGGUAGACUUGAGUGCAGGAGAGGAGAGUGGAAUUCCAUGUGUAGCGGUGAAAUGCAUAUAUAUAUGGAGGCACACCGGUGGCGAAAGCGGCUCUCUGGCCUGUAACUGACACUGAGGCUCGAAAGCGUGGGGAGCAAACAAGAUUAGAUACCCUGGUAGUCCACGCCCGUAAACGAUGAGUGCUAGAUGUAGGGCAGCUAUAAGUUCUCUGUAUCGCAACUAACGCAAUAAGCACUCCGCCUGGGGGAGUA
This 800-nucleotide ribosomal RNA is filed under the name Lactococcus lactis. RNAcentral's name for it is "bacterial SSU rRNA". It matches the Rfam family "Bacterial small subunit ribosomal RNA", at positions 97 to 882 of the family's 1533-position model. The record is from RNAcentral. Lineage: Bacteria; Bacillati; Bacillota; Bacilli; Lactobacillales; Streptococcaceae.